UACGUAGGGGGCAAGCGUUGUCCGGAAUCAUUGGGCGUAAAGAGCGUGUAGGCGGCCAGAUAAGUCCGCUGUGAAAUCUCGAGGCUCAACUUCGAGCUGUCGGUGGAAACUGUCUGGCUAGAGUCCGGAAGAGGAGAAUGGAAUUCCUGGUGUAGCGGUGAAAUGCGUAGAUAUCUGGAGGAACACCGGUGGCGAAGGCGGCAUCCUGGACCGGCAUUGACGCUGAGGAGCGAAAGCCAGGGGAGCAAACGGG
This 253-nucleotide ribosomal RNA is filed under the name uncultured bacterium. Its description in RNAcentral is "partial 16S ribosomal RNA". It matches the Rfam family "Bacterial small subunit ribosomal RNA", at positions 524 to 776 of the family's 1533-position model. The record is from RNAcentral.